GGCCGGUUGGCCCAAUGGCAAGGCGUCUGACUACGAUACACCGUGGCAUCAGGAGAUUGUGGGUUCGACCCCCAUGCUGGUCA
Molecule: transfer RNA, 83 nt
Organism: Colletotrichum orchidophilum
Lineage: Eukaryota; Fungi; Ascomycota; Sordariomycetes; Glomerellales; Glomerellaceae
Rfam family: tRNA
About the family: Transfer RNA (tRNA) molecules are approximately 80 nucleotides in length. Their secondary structure includes four short double-helical elements and three loops (D, anti-codon, and T loops).
Source: Rfam